AUUCCGGUUGAUCCUGCCGGACCCUACUGCUAUCGGGUGGAGACUAAGCCAUGCAAGUUGUGCGCCUCCUAGCCAUGUUGGAGACGCAGCGUACGGCUCCGUAACACGUAGUUAAUCUGCCCUUGGGACGGGAAUAAUCCUGGGAAACUGGGGCUAAUUCCCGAUAGGCGCAGUGGCCUGGAAUGGUACUGCACUCAAAAGGCUUUAAGAACAUGCUUUUGGAGCUGCCCAAGGAUGAGACUGCGGCCGAUCAGGUUGUUGGUGGGGUAACUGCCUACCAAGCCUAUAACCGGUACGGGCCCUGAG
Molecule: ribosomal RNA, 306 nt
Filed under: Promethearchaeota archaeon
Lineage: Archaea; Promethearchaeati; Promethearchaeota
Description: bacterial SSU rRNA
Rfam family: Archaeal small subunit ribosomal RNA
Source: RNAcentral